RNAcentral lists this transfer RNA (75 nucleotides) under Psychrosphaera haliotis. RNAcentral describes it as "tRNA-OTHER". It matches the Rfam family "tRNA". From Rfam's summary of the family: Transfer RNA (tRNA) molecules are approximately 80 nucleotides in length. Their secondary structure includes four short double-helical elements and three loops (D, anti-codon, and T loops). Lineage: Bacteria; Pseudomonadati; Pseudomonadota; Gammaproteobacteria; Alteromonadales; Pseudoalteromonadaceae. The record is from RNAcentral.
GGGGCUAUAGCUCAGCUGGGAGAGCGCUUGAUUGCAUUCAAGAGGUCCGCGGUUCGAUCCCGCGUAGCUCCACCA